AGAACGAACGCUGGCGGCAGGCCUCAAACAUGCAAGUCUAGGGGGCGUAGCAAUACGUCACCGGCGGACGGGUGCGUAACACGUGGGAAUGUACUUACUGGUUCGGAACAACUCAGGGAAACUUGAGCUAAUACCGAAUGUGCCCGAAAGGGGAAAGAUUUAUCGCCAGUAAAUCAGCCCGCGUCCGAUUAGCUAGUUGGCGGGGUAAAGGCCCACCAAGGCGACGAUCGGUAGCUGUUCUGAGAGGAAGAUCAGCCACACUGGGACUGAGACACGGCCCAGACUCCUACGGGAGGCAGCAGUUGGGAAUCUUGCGCAAUGGGCGAAAGCCUGACGCAGCCAUGCCGCGUGAAUGAUGAAGGUCUUAGGAUUGUAAAAUUCUUUCAGCGGGAAGAUAAUGACUGUACCGCAGAAGAGCUCCGGCUAACUUCGUGCCAGCAGCCGC
This 445-nucleotide ribosomal RNA is filed under the name uncultured bacterium. RNAcentral's name for it is "SSU rRNA". It matches the Rfam family "Bacterial small subunit ribosomal RNA", at positions 26 to 518 of the family's 1533-position model. The record is from RNAcentral.